Molecule: ribosomal RNA, 308 nt
Filed under: uncultured bacterium
Lineage: Bacteria
Description: bacterial SSU rRNA
Rfam family: Bacterial small subunit ribosomal RNA
Source: RNAcentral
UACCGCAUAUGACGAAAGUUGAAAGGAGUAAUCCGUCUAAAGAUGAGCCCGCGUCCGAUUAGCUAGUUGGUAGAGUAAAAGCCUACCAAGGCGACGAUCGGUAGCUGGUCUGAGAGGAUGAUCAGCCACAAUGGACUGAGACACGGCCCAUACUCCUACGGGAGGCAGCAGUGGGAAUUUUACGCAAUGGGCGAAAGCCUGACGUAGCGACACCGCGUGAGCGAAGAAGCCCCUUGGGGUGUAAAGCUCUGUCAGCUGGAACGAAAAAAAUGACGGUACCAGCAGAGGAAGCAUCGGCUAACUACGUG